GGGCCCGUAGCUCAGCCUGGUUAGAGUACCAGUCUUAUAAGCUGGUGGUCGGCAGUUCAAAUCUGCUCGGGCCCA
RNAcentral lists this transfer RNA (75 nucleotides) under Nanobdellota archaeon. Its description in RNAcentral is "tRNA-Ile". It matches the Rfam family "tRNA". From Rfam's summary of the family: Transfer RNA (tRNA) molecules are approximately 80 nucleotides in length. Their secondary structure includes four short double-helical elements and three loops (D, anti-codon, and T loops). RNAcentral also lists the same sequence under 1 other name. Lineage: Archaea; Nanobdellati; Nanobdellota. The record is from RNAcentral.